AGCCUGGCCCUCCUUCCUCUCCCCUUUAGGUCUUGCUGAUUUCUGUCCUCCAGGUCUUCUCAGUAGAAUGAGGAUAAUCCUGAAUUCAGAACAUAUUUCCUGAGUACGGUGAGUGCCCAGGAGAUGGGGGCUGAGAGCUGGCUCCUGCGCUCCUGAGAGCACAGUUUCCUGGGCAGGAGCAGAGAGAAGGCCCAGAGGAAGAUGGGAGGGAGGCAAGGCAAAGGAUGCUGUGGGGAGAGCCCAGAGCUGGGCCGCAGGCCUGAGACCCCUCUGCUGUCCAGUUACAUCGUGGAGAGGACCAUAACAACUGUGACCUUGUGAAAUUCUUCCCAGUGUGCUAAGUCGGUUUUUUUGUUUGUUUUUGUUUUUGUUUGAGAUGGAGCCACGGCUGGAGUCCAGUGGUGCGAUCUCAGCUCAUUGCAACCUCCACUUCCCGGGUUCAAGUGAUUCUCAUGCCUCAGCCUCCCGAGUAACUGGGAUGACAGGUGCAUGCCACUACACCCGGGUAAUUUUUGUAUUUUUAGUACAGAUGGGGUUUCACCAUGUUGGCCAGGCUGGUCUCGAACUCCUGGCCUCAAGUGAUCCGCCCGCCUCGGCCUCCCAAAGUGCUGGGAUUACAGGCGUGAGCCACUGCACUCGGCCGAGCCUGGUUUUCUACCUAUGCUACCUACUUUCUCCAAGGAUGCCCUGCUCUGGAAAUCUUCAAGGGAAUGCCUUUUACCUUAAAGUAGCUCCCCUUCCUCCCUGUCAGGCAUCUUUGCAUAACUCUGAAGAGUUUUGAAGAUGCAAAGUCCUUCCUCUCUGCCCAUUCAGGGAAGCUUCUGGCCGCCCUCGGGGUGAGUGGGCAGUGGCGGGUGGAAGUUCCUCAACUUCAUUACAGCUGUGAGGCCUCGGAUCGGCUCUCACCACUCUGGGCAUCCUUUUUUGUAAAAUGGAGCCAGUAAUUUCCACUCUCCUGGUUAUUGUAGGCUGGCAAUGAGGGCAUCCGCGGAUGGCACCUGGCCCACUCAUCAAAUGGCAGCUACCCUCUCUCGUGAUGAUUGUCAGCAUCUAGUGUGAAAGAUGGGAAGAGCCUACAUCAAUUCUUUUUUUUUUUUUUCUUUAAGAGAUGUAAUUGCCCAGGCUGGUCUUGAACUCCUAGACUCAAGCCAUCUGCCUGCCUCAGCCUCCUAAAAUGCUGGGAUUACAGGUGUGUGCCCCCAAGCCCAGCCUGCACUGGAUUCUCAUUCUGAUGUUACAAGGUGGAUGGGGCCAUGAUAGAGGUUUGAGCCAGCAGGGAGGGUGUGGCACGAGGCCUGAUGGCUUCUUGGAGGAGGAGGUGUUUGAACUAGGCCAUCGGAGACAGAACAGAUUCACUGGGAAAGUAGCUGUGUGUGCCAGGUGCACCAGCCGGGCUGCCAAGUGCUGAUUUGUAGAAAUUCUCUGGGGGGUUCUCUGAGUGAGGAAGAAGGAUCCAUGGGGCCUGGGCAAGGCUAGAAGUGAUAGCCUGGGAAACAGUCUCAGGAGUACAGUUUCUUCCUUUUUCUCUUACUUGUUGAAGCCUAAUUUACAUAUUAUCAAAUGCACCAGUCGCAAUGAGUUUUAAAAAUGUUUUGGCAGCUUUAUGUAAGUAUAACUGACAGAUAACCCACACUCAUUCAAAAUGUACAAUUUGACCAGGCACGGCAGCUCAUGCCUGUAAUCCCAAUACUUUAGGAGGCCGAGACAGGUGGAUCACCUGAGGUCGGGAGUUUGAGACCAGCCUGGCCAAUAUGGUGAAACCCCGUCUUUACUAAAAAUACAAAAAUUAGCCAGGCGUGGUGGCACAUGCCUGUAAUCCCAGCUACUCAGGAGGCUGAGGCAGGAGAAUCACUUGAACCCGGGAGGCAGAGGUUGCAGUGAGCAGAGAUUGCACCAUUGCACUCCAACCUGGGCGACAAGAGUGAAAUUCCGUCUCAAAAAAAAAGUAAAAUUUGAUGAUUUGGGGCAGAUGUGUCCAUCCAUAGAACCAUCGCCACAGUCAAGAUAAUGAAUAUAUGUAUCACCCCCAAAGUUUCCUCUCUCCCCAUGUAAUCCGUCCCUCCCUCUCUCCCUGUGUAAUCCCUCCCUCCCUCUCUCCCCAUGUAAUCCUUCCCUUCCUCUCGUUCCAUGUAAUCCCUCCCUCCCUCUCAUCCCAUGUAAUCCCUCCCUCCCUCUCUCCCCAUGUAAUCCCUCCCUCCCUCUCUCCCCAUGUAAUCCUUCCCUCCUUCUCUCCCUAUGUAAUCCCUCCCUCCCUCCCCAUGCAAUCCCUCCCACCCUCUCAUCCCAUGUAAUCCCUCCCUCCCUCUCUCCCCAUGUAAUCCCUCCCUCCCUCUCUCCCCAUGUAAUCCCUCCCUCCCUCUCAUCCCAUGUAAUCCCUCUCUCCCUCCCUCAGGCAACCACUAUGCUGAUUUCCAUCACUAUAGAUUAGCUGCUAUUUUCUAGAAUUUUAUAGAAAUUGAAUAAUAUAGUAUUACUCUUUUUUAUCUAGCUUUUUAAAAAAAACUCAUCAUUAUGGCAGGGCACAGUGGCUCAUGCCUGUAAUCCCAGCACUUUGGGAGGCCAAGGCUGGCAGAUCACUUGAGUUCAGGAGCUCAAGAUCAGCCUGGCCAACAUGGCGAAACCCCAUCUCUACUAAAAAUACAAAAAUUAGCUGGGUGUGGUGAUGUGCACCUGUAGUCCCAGCUACUCCAGAGGCAGGAGAAUUGCUUGAAUCCAGGAGGCGGAGGUUGCAAUGAGCGGAGAUAGUGCCACUGCACUCCAGCCUGGGCGACAGAGCAAGAUGCUGUUUCAAAAACAAAAACAAAACAAAACAAACCAACAAAAAACAGAAAAAGUCAAAUAAAACACUUGUGAGCA
This is a long non-coding RNA of Homo sapiens (human), 2856 nucleotides long. RefSeq lists it as uncharacterized. NCBI's taxonomy places the organism in Eukaryota, Metazoa, Chordata, Mammalia, Primates, Hominidae. The record is from RefSeq and is a predicted model, not a curated record. The transcript is spliced from 2 exons.